Long non-coding RNA from Podarcis raffonei (Aeolian wall lizard), 506 nucleotides. RefSeq lists it as uncharacterized. The record is from RefSeq and is a predicted model, not a curated record. The transcript has 2 exons. Lineage: Eukaryota; Metazoa; Chordata; Lepidosauria; Squamata; Lacertidae.
CCUUUUUGUACCAACUUAAAACUCCGUAGUGGUCUAUGAAGUACCUACUGCCCUAGAAUCCCAAAGUGUUGUUGCUGUUCUUAUAAAACCCGAGGGUUGGAGGCAGCGAAAGAAGAAACACAGCCGCGCCAGGAAACUAAGAGCAGGAUGCGGGGUCAAUACAGGGAACCCUCUCGGCGCCUUGGCCGCCACAGGGCAACCCUCCCCCCCAAAGUAGGGCAGGGCUCCGCUCCUCCAGAAGCGGGUCGGCCAGCCAAAGAGAGCCCUCUUCGCGUGGGUUUUAAAGGAAGAGGCCCCGCAGAGGAUGCAGGAAGGAGCAGGCCGCGCGUAUCCUCCGUGAGUGAAGUCGACCUGGCAUCUUUGUUUCAGCACCAGACUUAUCUCCUCCACCCAGCUUUUGAUGGAUUACAAAUGGAUGUUUUGCUACUGCUGUGCCGGCGAUUUCCUGUAGCUGUUAUAGGGAUUGUUACAUUUUUGUGGCAUAAAGUAUUACUAUUUGUUUUUAA